This is a non-coding RNA of Pangasianodon gigas (Mekong giant catfish), 73 nucleotides long. NCBI's taxonomy places the organism in Eukaryota, Metazoa, Chordata, Actinopteri, Siluriformes, Pangasiidae. The record is from the annotation of a GenBank genome assembly.
GCCCGGCUAGCUCAGCUGGUAGCGCAUGGGAUGCUUGAUCCCAGGAUUGUAGGUUUGAGCCCCAUGCUGUGUG